CCUACGGGUGGGCUGCAGUGGGGAAUAUUGGACAAUGGGGGGAACCCUGAUCCAGCGACGCCGCGUGAGUGAAGAAGUAUUUCGGUAUGCAAAGCUCUAUCAGCAGGGAAGAAAGAAAUGACGGUACCUGACUAAGAAGCUCCGGCUAACUACGUGCCAGCAGCAGCGGUAAUACGUAGGGGGCAAGCGUUAUCCGGAUGUACUGGGGUGAAAGGGAGCGUAGACGGCGAUGUAAGUCUGAAGUGAAAGGCGGGGGCCCAACCUCCGGACUGCUUUGGAAACUGUAUGGCUGGAGUGCAGGGGAGGUAAGUGGAAUGCGUGGUGUAGCGGUGAAAUGCGUAGAUAUUAGGAGGAACACCAGUGGCGAAGGCGGCGUGCUGGACUGUAACUGACGUUGAGGCUCGAAAGCGUGGGGAGCAAACAGGAUUAGAUACCCUUGUAGUC
RNAcentral lists this ribosomal RNA (444 nucleotides) under uncultured bacterium. RNAcentral's name for it is "partial 16S ribosomal RNA". It matches the Rfam family "Bacterial small subunit ribosomal RNA", at positions 338 to 795 of the family's 1533-position model. The record is from RNAcentral.